GCGAUUAUAGUUCAGUGGCUAGAACGCCAGAUUGUGGAUCUGGAUGUCGCGGGUUCGAGUCCCGUUAGUCGCC
This 73-nucleotide transfer RNA is filed under the name Lachnospiraceae bacterium. RNAcentral describes it as "tRNA-His". It matches the Rfam family "tRNA". From Rfam's summary of the family: Transfer RNA (tRNA) molecules are approximately 80 nucleotides in length. The record is from RNAcentral. Lineage: Bacteria; Bacillati; Bacillota; Clostridia; Lachnospirales; Lachnospiraceae.